This 324-nucleotide ribosomal RNA is filed under the name uncultured eukaryote. Its description in RNAcentral is "partial 18S ribosomal RNA". It matches the Rfam family "Eukaryotic small subunit ribosomal RNA", at positions 1470 to 1796 of the family's 1831-position model. The record is from RNAcentral.
CCCCUAGAUGUUCUGGGCCGCACGCGCGCUACACUGAACAGUUCAACAAGUCUUAACCUUGGCCGAUAGGUCUGGGUAAUCUUUGAACGCUGUUCGUGAUUGGGAUAGACCUUUGCAAUUAUGGGUCUUCAACGAGGAAUUCCUAGUAAACGCGAGUCAUCAGCUCGUGCUGAUUACGUCCCUGCCCUUUGUACACACCGCCCGUCGCUCCUACCGAUUGAGUGCUCAGGUGAAUAAUUCGGACUGCAGCAGUGUUUGGAUCCCGAACGCUGCAGCGGAAAGUUUAGUGAACCUUAUCACUUAGAGGAAGGAGAAGUCGUAACA